GGAUUAGAUACCCUGGUAGUCCACGCCGUAAACGAUGGUCACUAGCUGUUCGGUUUUUAACUGAGUGGCUAAGCGAAAGUGAUAAGUGACCCACCUGGGGAGUACGUUCGCAAGAAUGAAACUCAAAGGAAUUGACGGGGGCCCGCACAAGCGGUGGAGCAUGUGGUUUAAUUCGAUGAUACGCGAGGAACCUUACCAGGGCUUAAAUGUAGAGUGACAGGGGUAGAGACACCCUUUUCUUCGGACACUUUACAAGGUGCUGCAUGGUUGUCGUCAGCUCGUGCCG
This 286-nucleotide ribosomal RNA is filed under the name uncultured bacterium. RNAcentral's name for it is "partial 16S ribosomal RNA". It matches the Rfam family "Bacterial small subunit ribosomal RNA", at positions 775 to 1067 of the family's 1533-position model. The record is from RNAcentral.